CCAUAAUCAGUACAGGUUGUGAGAGCAAGAACCUGGAGACGGAAUCUGAGACAAGAUUCCGGGCCCUACGGGGCGCAGCAGGCGCGAAACCUUUACACUGCACGCACGUGCGAUAAGGGGACUCCGAGUGCGAGGGCAUAUCGUCCUCGCUUUCGUGUACCGUAGGGUGGUACACCAACAAGGGCUGGGCAAGACCGGUGCCAGCCGCCGCGGUAAUACCGGCAGCCCGAGUGAUGACCGAUCUUAUUGGGCCUAAAGCGUCCGUAGCUGGCUGCGCAAGUCCGUCGGGAAAUCCACUCGCCCAACGAGUGGGCGUCCGACGGAAACUGCACAGCUUGGGACCGGAAGGCUCGAAGGGUACGUGCGGGGUAGGAGUGAAAUCCUAUAAUCCCGCACGGACCACCGAUGGCGAAAGCACUUCGAGAAAACGGAUCCGACAGUGAGGGACGAAAGCCAGGGUCUCCAACCGGAUUAGAUACCCGGGUAGUCCUGGCUGUAAACAAUGUUCGCUAGGUAUGACACAGACUACGUGUCCCUGUUGUGCCGUAGGGAAGCCGAGAAGCGAACCGCCUGGGAAGUACGUCUGCAAGGAUGAAACUUAAAGGAAUUGGCGGGGGAGCACUACAACCGGAGGAGCCUGCGGUUUAAUUGGACUCAACGCCGGACAUCUCACCAGCUCCGACUACAGUGAUGACGACCAGGUUGAUGACCUCAUCACGACGCUGUAGAGAGGAGGUGCAUGGCCGCCGUCAGCUCGUACCGUGAGGCGUCCUGUUAAGUCAGGCAACGAGCGAGACCCGCACCCCUAAUUGCCAGCAACAGUUUCGACUGGUUGGGUACAUUAGGAGGACUGCCAGUGUUAAACUGGAGGAAGGAACGGGCAACGGUAGGUCAGUAUGCCCCGAAUGAGCUGGGCAACACGCGGGCUACAAUGGCUAAGACAAUGGGUCGCUAUCUCGACAGAGAACGCUAAUCUCGAAACUUAGUCGUAGUUCGGAUUGAGGGCUGAAACUCGCCCUCAUGAAGCUGGAUUCGGUAGUAGCCGCCUUUCAGUAGAAGGCGACGAAUACGUCCCUGCUCCUUGUACACACCGCCCGUCA
This 1100-nucleotide ribosomal RNA is filed under the name uncultured archaeon. Its description in RNAcentral is "bacterial SSU rRNA". It matches the Rfam family "Archaeal small subunit ribosomal RNA", at positions 258 to 1355 of the family's 1478-position model. The record is from RNAcentral.